Molecule: long non-coding RNA, 700 nt
Organism: Monodelphis domestica (gray short-tailed opossum)
Lineage: Eukaryota; Metazoa; Chordata; Mammalia; Didelphimorphia; Didelphidae
Source: RefSeq, a predicted model, not a curated record
GCAGUUUCCAACUGACUCAGUCUGGAUCUGAAAGGGAAGAAGGAAGGUAUGUAGCUGAGACUCCCUGAACAAACCACCUAUCAAGCAACUGGACAUUGAGGAUCAACUGUCUGAGGUUCUAUGAUCAGUAGAUCUCUGAGGAUUGAAAUAGAAACAACCAGGCAGAAGAGGAAUGAAUGAAAGUAGAGGAUACAUUGAAAACAGCAAAAAAAAAAAUAGCAGUUGACAUCAGCUGAGUCUGCUGCUGAAAGAAAAGGAGGCUUCAUGGAAGAUUUAUAUGCACCAGCCAUUUCUGAAACCAAUAGGCACCUUUGUUUGAUAUGUUUAAAGAAGUUCUAAAUAGAAAAGUCAUAUGGCUUACCUAGAGGAACUCCAAGGAAAGUAGAGUCAAAGGUAAAACAUUGAAGGGGAUUUUGACAGUCCAUUGAUUUCUCCCCAUUACCUGGGGGACAAGAUUGAUAUUUCCAAAUGUCAGUAACCCCUGGUUCCUCUCAAAUUGAGGUUAGAAUAUGCCUACAAACAAAAGGAGUCUACCAAUCUCCAAAACACUGGAGUCAACACUAAAACCUUCAAUGUUAAGCUCAAGAUAGAACCACACAAGGGGUUCUUUUUCAUUUUUUGUGUGUCUGAACCCUAUUGGAAAUCUAAUGGUCUAUGUAUUCUUUUUUAGAAGUAAAUGUUUUUAACUACAUUAAAUAAA